This 481-nucleotide ribosomal RNA is filed under the name Anaplasma ovis. RNAcentral's name for it is "bacterial SSU rRNA". The record is from RNAcentral. Lineage: Bacteria; Pseudomonadati; Pseudomonadota; Alphaproteobacteria; Rickettsiales; Anaplasmataceae.
UAUAGGAUAGCCACUAGAAAUGGUGGGUAAUACUGUAUAAUCCCUGCGGGGGAAAGAUUUAUCGCUACUAGAUGAGCCUAUGUCAGAUUAGCUAGUUGGUGGGGUAAUGGCCCACCAAGGCUGUGAUCUGUAGCUGGUCUGAGAGGAUGAUCAGCCACACUGGAACUGAGACACGGUCCAGACUCCUACGGGAGGCAGCAGUGGGGAAUAUUGGACAAUGGGCGCAAGCCUGAUCCAGCUAUGCCGCGUGAGUGAGGAAGGCCUUAGGGUUGUAAAACUCUUUCAGUAGGGAAGAUAAUGACGGUACCUACAGAAGAAGUCCCGGCAAACUCCGUGCCWGCAGCCGCGGUAAUACGGAGGGGGCAAGCGUUGUUCGGAAUUAUUGGGCGUAAAGGGCAUGUAGGCGGUUUGGUAAGUUAAAGGUGAAAUACCAGGGCUUAACCCUGGGGCUGCUUUUAAUACUGCAGGACUAGAGUCCGGA